UGGAUGUGUGGGUCGAUGUCACGUGACCAAUAGAUUUAUAAUCCCUCCGUUCAUAAUGAAACAGAAAAGUCUUUGUUCUAGGAAAAAUGCUUAAUUAUUUUCCAUGUUUAGUAGGUUCACUAAAGGAAUGGCAGGAUGGGGCUAGUUGGACCAUGGGCUAUUUGGAAUUCUUUCUGAGUUUGUCAUGUUUCAUUAAGCACUGAAUAUUAUGGUUGAUGAUUGUAUUGAGACACUUACACAUGUAUGAAUGUGAUGGAGCAAGGCUUUCUUAGUUCAGAAGAGAGAAAAAGGAAAGUUUUAAGAUGUUUACAAAGAAGGUAUUUAGAUUUUAGACCAAUUACAAAAAGUCUGGAAAUCUGAAGUUGAAUCAUCACAAAAAAGGAAGCAAAAAAAUAAAGUCCUUGCUAAACAAAGAAUGAUGUAAAUGUGUGUUCUUACAGAAAUUGAUGACUUUGACUUAUCAGUUACGAGUUUGAAACAAGGAAUGGAGAAAGAUCAUCACUGCAUAUCAUUAGCCCCAUGCAUUCAGAAUGUAAUUUGUCAAAAAUCUUGAAGGUGCUUCAUCAGCAGAAUAAGGAAAUUAGGUACAUAUAAUAUUGACUUUUAAACUCCUUUGUUAUGGUUUUAAACAUUUUUGUUGAUUUUAUACUCAUAAUUGUUGGUUUGGAAGAAGAAUCGAGUGUGUGUUAAUUAUUAA
Amphimedon queenslandica is the source of this 697-nucleotide long non-coding RNA. RefSeq lists it as uncharacterized. The transcript is spliced from 6 exons. NCBI's taxonomy places the organism in Eukaryota, Metazoa, Porifera, Demospongiae, Haplosclerida, Niphatidae. The record is from RefSeq and is a predicted model, not a curated record.